RNAcentral lists this ribosomal RNA (304 nucleotides) under uncultured bacterium. Its description in RNAcentral is "partial 16S ribosomal RNA". It matches the Rfam family "Bacterial small subunit ribosomal RNA", at positions 506 to 807 of the family's 1533-position model. The record is from RNAcentral.
CAGCAGUAGCCGCGGGAAUACGAAGGUCCCAAGCGUUGUUCGGAAUCACUGGGCGUAAAGGGAGCGUAGGCGGCGUGGUAAGUCAGAUGUGAAAUCCCGGGGCUCAACCCCGGAACUGCAUCCGAUACUGCCAUGCUUGAGGGUUGGAGAGGUGACUGGAAUUCUCGGUGUAGCAGUGAAAUGCGUGGAUAUCGAGAGGAACACUCGUGGCGAAGGCGAGUCACUGGACAACAUCUGACGCUGAGGCUCGAAGGCUAGGGUAGCGAAAGGGAUUAGAUACCCCGGUAGUCCCUGUCUCUUAUAC